RNAcentral lists this ribosomal RNA (496 nucleotides) under uncultured bacterium. Its description in RNAcentral is "partial 16S ribosomal RNA". It matches the Rfam family "Bacterial small subunit ribosomal RNA", at positions 30 to 523 of the family's 1533-position model. The record is from RNAcentral.
AUUGAACGCUGGCGGAAUGCUUUACACACGCAAGUCGAACGGUAGAGGGGGCAACCCCUCGAGAGUGGCGAACGGGUGAGUAAUAUAUCGGAACGUGCCCAGUCGUGGGGGAUAACGUAGCGAAAGUUACGCUAAUACCGCAUACGAUCUAAGGAUGAAAGCGGGGGAUCGCAAGACCUCGCGCGAUUGGAGCGGCCGAUAUCAGAUUAGGUAGUUGGUGGGGUAAAGGCUCACCAAGCCAACGAUCUGUAGCUGGUCUGAGAGGACGACCAGCCACACUGGAACUGAGACACGGUCCAGACUCCUACAGGAGGCAGCAGUGGGGAAUUUUGGACAAUGGACGCAAGUCUGAUUCAGCCAUUCCGCGUGCAGGAUGAAGGCCCUCGGGUUGUAAACUGCUUUUGUACGGAACGAAAAGGUCUCUCUUAAUACGGGGGACUCAUGACGGUACCGUAAGAAUAAGCACCGGCUAACUACGUGCCAGCAGCCGCAGUAA